This 501-nucleotide ribosomal RNA is filed under the name uncultured bacterium. RNAcentral describes it as "bacterial SSU rRNA". It matches the Rfam family "Bacterial small subunit ribosomal RNA", at positions 30 to 504 of the family's 1533-position model. The record is from RNAcentral.
UGAACGCUGGCGGCGUGCCUAACACAUGCAAGUCGAACGAGAAAUUUCCUGCUUGCAGGGGAGAGUAAAGUGGCGCACGGGUGAGUAACGCGUGGGUAACCUGCCCUUGAAACCGGGAUAACUUCGCGAAAGCGAUGCUAAUACCGGAUAUCGUCUCUGGGACUUUGGUAUUGGAGAUGAAAGGUGACCUCUUCAUGAAAGUUGCCGUUUAAGGAUGGGCUCGCGUACCAUUAGCUAGUUGGUGGGGUAAUGGCCCACCAAGGCGACGAUGGUUAGCUGGUCUGAGAGGAUGAUCAGCCACACUGGAACUGGAACACGGUCCAGACUCCUACGGGAGGCAGCAGUGAGGAAUUUUGCGCAAUGGGGGAAACCCUGACGCAGCAACGCCGCGUGAGUGAAGAAGGCUUUCGGGUCGUAAAGCUCUGUCAAAUGGGAAAAAGGCCUUUGGCUUAAUAGGUUGAAGGAUUGAUGGUACCAUUGGAGGAAGCACCGGCUAACUCC